GCUACUGUAGUUUUAAAACGUUGGUCUUGUAAACCAAAAUCGGGAAAUAUAAUUUCCCCAGAAGCC
RNAcentral lists this transfer RNA (66 nucleotides) under Ensatina eschscholtzii (common Ensatina). RNAcentral describes it as "tRNA-Thr". It matches the Rfam family "tRNA". From Rfam's summary of the family: Transfer RNA (tRNA) molecules are approximately 80 nucleotides in length. Their secondary structure includes four short double-helical elements and three loops (D, anti-codon, and T loops). The record is from RNAcentral. Lineage: Eukaryota; Metazoa; Chordata; Amphibia; Caudata; Plethodontidae.